UACGUAGGGGGCAAGCGUUGUCCGGAAUCAUUGGGCGUAAAGAGCGUGUAGGCGGCCAGAAAAGUCCGCUGUGAAAACUCGAGGCUCAACUUCGAGCUGUCGGUGGAAACUUUCUGGCUAGAGUCCGGAAGAGGAGAAUGGAAUUCCUGGUGUAGCGGUGGAAUGCGCAGAUAUCAGGAAGAACACCCGUGGCGAAGGCGGUUCUCUGGGACGGUACUGACGCUGAGACGCGAAGCCGUGGGGAGCGAACAGG
RNAcentral lists this ribosomal RNA (253 nucleotides) under uncultured bacterium. Its description in RNAcentral is "partial 16S ribosomal RNA". It matches the Rfam family "Bacterial small subunit ribosomal RNA", at positions 524 to 776 of the family's 1533-position model. The record is from RNAcentral.